GAUAUAGAAAAAGGAAGAAAAGUAAACGCCAUCAUCUUUUCUAUCUUCUCUCUCACGUCUUCCACUCUCCAUUUCCACCAAAUUUUCUUUUCUUUCAUUUUAGUCCAUUUUCCUCCAUUUUCAACCCUUUCAAGUUUUAAACUUCUAAUUUUCUUCAUAAAUUUUUAGUGAAAUCAAGAGAACAACUUCUUGACCAGCUAAGUUUUAUGUGAAGUUAGCUAAAGUUCAUAGUUGAGGAAAGAGAAAAGAAGAGCUAGGGAUUUUGAGUAAGGUUAAGAGAAUGUCAAGAGGAGUGAACAUCAAGUUGAUAAAGGCAAAGAAAUAGCAAAGGAUUGAAGGAAGAAUGAAGGAUUUCAUUUCAAUCAAUUUUGUUAUAAGUGAAGAUCGUUUUGAAGUUUUAGAAUGAAGAUCGUCUCCAACUUAUCUCAUCACAAAUCAAACUUGGAAGAUAUAGUAUGAAUCUAAAAUUUUGGGCAUUAGUUUUUGGCAUGUACAUAGGAAUAUAAUAGAAAUGUUCAUGGAUGAAUUCAAUGAAAGCUUUGGUGCUUUUGGUCCACUUUAUAAAUCUUGAAAUUGGGAUUUGUAUGUUUUGGAAUUGAGUUGAAUUAGGUGCUAUUUAAGGUUGAAAA
Long non-coding RNA from Gossypium raimondii (Peruvian cotton), 629 nucleotides. RefSeq lists it as uncharacterized. The transcript has 3 exons. The record is from RefSeq and is a predicted model, not a curated record. Lineage: Eukaryota; Viridiplantae; Streptophyta; Magnoliopsida; Malvales; Malvaceae.